UUGCUUCUCGCUGACGAGCGGCGGACGGGUGAGUAAUACUUAGGAAUCUACCUAGUAGUGGGGGAUAGCACGGGGAAACUCGUAUUAAUACCGCAUACGACCUACGGGAGAAAGGGGGCAGUUUACUGCUCUCGCUAUUAGAUGAGCCUAAGUCGGAUUAGCUAGAUGGUGGGGUAAAGGCCUACCAUGGCGACGAUCUGUAGCUGGUCUGAGAGGAUGAUCAGCCACACCGGGACUGAGACACGGCCCGGACUCCUACGGGAGGCAGCAGUGGGGAAUAUUGGACAAUGGGGGAAACCCUGAUCCAGCCAUGCCGCGUGUGUGAAGAAGGCCUUUUGGUUGUAAAGCACUUUAAGCAGUGAAGAAGACUCCAUGGUUAAUACCCAUGGACGAUGACAUUAGCUGCAGAAUAAGCACCGGCUAACUCUGUGCCAGCAGCCGCGGUAAUACAGAGGGUGCAAGCGUUAAUCGGAAUUACUGGGCGUAAAGGGAGCGUAGGUGGCUCUAUAAGUCAGAUGUGAAAUCCCCGGGCUUAACCUGGGAACUGCAUCUGAGACUGUAGAGCUAGAGUAUGUGAGAGGAAGGUAGAAUUCCAGGUGUAGCGGUGAAAUGCGUACAGAUCUGGAGGAAUACCGAUGGCGAAGGCAGCCUUCUGGCAUAAUACUGACACUGAGGCUCGAAAGCGUGGGUAGCAAACAGGAUUAGAUACCCUGGUAGUCCACGCCGUAAACGAUGUCUACUAGUCGUUGGGUCCCUUGAGGACUUAGUGACGCAGCUAACGCAAUAAGUAGACCGCCUGGGGAGUACGGCCGCAAGGUUAAAACUCAAAUGAAUUGACGGGGGCCCGCACAAGCGGUGGAGCAUGUGGUUUAAUUCGAUGCAACGCGAAGAACCUUACCUGGUCUUGACAUAUCUAGAAUCCUGCAGAGAUGCGGGAGUGCCUUCGGGAAUUAGAAUACAGGUGCUGCAUGGCUGUCGUCAGCUCGUGUCGUGAGAUGUUGGGUUAAGUCCCGCAACGAGCGCAACCCUUGUCCUUAGUUACCAGCGGGUUAAGCCGGGAACUCUAAGGAUACUGCCAGUGACAAACUGGAGGAAGGCGGGGACGACGUCAAGUCAUCAUGGCCCUUACGACCAGGGCUACACACGUGCUACAAUGGUAGGUACAGAGGGCAGCUACACAGCGAUGUGAUGCGAAUCUCAAAAAGCCUAUCGUAGUCCAGAUUGGAGUCUGCAACUCGACUCCAUGAAGUAGGAAUCGCUAGUAAUCGCGGAUCAGAAUGCCGCGGUGAAUACGUUCCCGGGCCUCGUACACACCGCCCGUCACACCAUGGGAGUUGAUUGC
Molecule: ribosomal RNA, 1342 nt
Filed under: Psychrobacter cibarius
Lineage: Bacteria; Pseudomonadati; Pseudomonadota; Gammaproteobacteria; Moraxellales; Moraxellaceae
Description: bacterial SSU rRNA
Rfam family: Bacterial small subunit ribosomal RNA
Source: RNAcentral